RNAcentral lists this long non-coding RNA (437 nucleotides) under Mus musculus (house mouse). RNAcentral describes it as "predicted gene 28176". The record is from RNAcentral. Lineage: Eukaryota; Metazoa; Chordata; Mammalia; Rodentia; Muridae.
GGCCUUGCUCUUAUGUCAUCUGACUAAAGGUUUCAUAGACCAAAGAUAACCAUCCAACUUGUUGGAAUACUGAAACAAUUGCUGCCUGCUGUCCACACACCACAUAAAAUAUGUGGAUUUCGUAAAUUCUGCAAAAAAGGUUUGGAAGCUGAUCAAUCAAUACUGGAACUCCCUCUUCUCCAGAAGAGACAUCCUGGCCUCCAUGCAGAGGAAUGUGUGGAUGGACAUAUAUUUAAGGAAGACACUAAACCAGAAACUACUACAUUACACCCUCUUAGAAGACUUCUAAGAUUGUUGUCAUGCCUACCACAGACAUUCAGAUGAUAUGUAUUCUUGAUUGUGAUUUCAUGUUUGGACCUGAUGAAGGAGUUUGAAGUCUCCAGAGCAGCAAAGAGAGUGGGGAGUAGAACUCAUCAUCUUUAGGUCACUCAUCAUCG